UUAUGAGUGUGAAUGUCCCUCUGGUAUCUUUCGCCUCUCUUUUCCAACUGAUUUUUAUAGUGUUCUAAUGAUGUGCUGUUACACCACUUCCCUAGGUCAGGGGGAUGAUUGGGCGCUGACAAACAAGUUGUGGAUGUUUAUAAUUCAGAAAAGGCUUUCGUUACGAAUCUGGCAGACCCAUUAAAAUAAAGUUAUUUGUAAUGACACUUAUGAAAUACGUAUAUAUUCAUUUUGUCUGUGUAAUUGUCACAAUCCUGAUUUGGUUCUGUGUCCUGUGAUAAUUCAGAUAAAAAUGAUGGCAAAUAAUUGCUUCCCCGUUGCAUAUAUAGAUGCCCUAUGGUAAAACAACAUUUCAACCCCGUUCUGUUAAUUUCAAGCUAUACUGUCUGAUUAAUUUUUGAAUGUAAAAAAAUCGUUCCAUAGUGAACAAACAAAUUUUGUUACUUAAACAUACAUUUAAUGACUGCUGGUUCUGUUAAAAUUACUCUCAUAAGUCUUUGAUGAUAAAUCAAUAAAUUUCACAGUUCAAUUCAUUUCAGUAACAUUCAGGUCCCCAUGCUUUGUAUAUUAAACUAAAGUUAUUUCGGUUAAUUCCAUAAUUGGGAAGUUGAUUAUCAGUGAUAAUUCAUAACAAUACGUUUAAAUUACACACACUUCAUACAUCAUUGACAUUGUUUAUGCUUUAUUAUUUAGGCCCACUGUUUAUUUAUAGAACAAAAGACAUUUUAUGUUUUGUCAUUUGAACAUACGUUCUGCAGUUUGUUUUAUGCAUCAGGUUAUUUUAAUAUAUUUAUAAGGCGUGUUGUCCGUGUGUUACUUGUCAUUGUUUUGAAUGCACAUUGAUUGUACAUAAUUCACAGUGCAGAGCUUGCAAAGUAAUUUGCACAAAACUUCGAACUGGUCAUUAUUCCAUCGAUAUAUUUUUUCUCUCAUCAGUGGAAAAUGUUUACAGGUUCAUGUAACAAUCGAAUAAAUGUUGAUGUUUAAUUUUAGAUUGACAUAAUCACUAACCAAAAUAAGUUUAUGGACCUCACACAAUGAACCUAUGGCAGAUUCAUUAAAUACAUUUGAAGACUGUUGCGUGGAUUCAUAAUGUGAAUUUGCAAUAUUCAUCCUGUAUGGUUUUUCAAAUUUUCAACAUUCUGACACAUGCACAGUAUCUACUUCGAGAUUCUAAUAAUAUUAUCACAAUUGUAUAUAAUAAGUUCUGUUAGCUACUACUCCGCACUAUAAUUUUUAGGUGGCACGGUAGUAUUUACAUUCCGGAAUUUAGGUUGCUCUUUUGUGUACCCUACUUAAGUCAAUGUAUCUGAACAGUGUGAUUGGACAAAACAUACAGUAUCUACUGAUCAUACUUUUCCAAACUGAGGGAUGAAUCAGGUGUAGAAAAAUAUAAAAUAAUUUUACAUGCAGGUGAAAAUGAAUUUUUGAGAAUUUUUUAAAAUUUUGUAUUCACUGCUUGAUAAAAGACCUAAAAGCACUAGUGGCCUUGGGUUUAUAAAGAUAGCAAAAAAAGUAAACGGUCAUGACACAUAUUCAAAUUCAUUUCUGAAUACUAUAAUGAAAGUACUUCAGUUAACUGUGUAUGUAGAAUUUUGAGCAGUGUUAGAAAGUGGUGAAAAUUCUAAAAAGGCUAUCAUUAUCCCUAUGGGCCAGGAAAUACUACCGUGCCCCCUUUACCUAUGCACUUACUAUGAGUAAAAGGGAAAACAUAUACCAAACAAUGUAGAGGGUUACAAGAGGAAGUAGAUAAGCUCAUAAUUAAGCUUACACAUUUUAAACUUAAAACCAAAUUUCAAGAAGAUAUGAUUUGUUGUUGCUGUGAAAAAUAAAACAACAGAAAGUAGAUAAGCACAAGCUAUAGUAUGCAGAUGCUGAGGAAACUGAUAAAUAACACCCAUGUAUCCAGGAAAAAGGAAAGAGAUAAGUGACACUUCUUAGUAUAUGUCACAAUAUGAAGCUUCGUACCAAAUAUCAAGGUGAUUUGAUUUGUUAUUGAGAAGAUAAAUAAGCAAACUUUUUAUCACAUACAUCAAUGAAACAUAAAAUAAUGGAACAGCAUUCAAAUACAUUAUUAUAUUAUCAAUUAAAUCUAUAUAAUCAUAUAUAAUGUGGAUUAAAAUGAGUGAGUGGAAAGUAAAAUAUGUAUAUCAAAAUAAGACAUUCAAUGAACACAAUAACUGGCUGACUAUAUAUCAUAAAUAAAAUAAACGUAUAUACAAUGA
Molecule: long non-coding RNA, 2225 nt
Organism: Mytilus californianus (California mussel)
Lineage: Eukaryota; Metazoa; Mollusca; Bivalvia; Mytilida; Mytilidae
Exons: 2
Source: RefSeq, a predicted model, not a curated record